GGGAGGAAGAAUACAGGGAGAAGGAGAGGAAGAAUACAGGGAGAAGGUGAGGAAGAAUACAGGGAGAAGGAGAGGAGGGGGGUGAGGAAGAAUACAGGGAGAAGGAGAGGAGGGGGGGGAGGAGGAGAGAGAGGGGAUGAAGAAUACAGGGAGGAGGAGAGAGAGGGGAUGAAGAAUACAGGGAGAAGGAGAUGAGGGAAGGAUAAGGAUAUUGUUUGCCUUGACUUAGGGCUGUUCCCUGAAAAUAUAAAAAUGGUGGUCGACCGAGAGUCAUCAAUUGGUCGAAAUGUUGAAACGUAUUUUUCCGUAUGUAGACAGACACCCUAUGUGUUUGAAGAAAAUCAACUACAUAUGCACUGAGCUUGUCUGAUGCUUUAAGCACACUGUUUGAUUAAAUAAUUCAGAGGCACAAAUUACUCAGAGCCUGAUGUGUUAAAAGAAAAUGAUAGCAGGUGCCUAUGUGACUGGCACUUGUUGUCUCACUCUCCUCCCUACUGCAGUGGAAAAAAGGCACCACAGCACAGUAAAUUACCAAAAUCCCUAAUUUGUUUACAAAAAACAUACCCCAUUCCCCAUGAAAUAUAGGCCUAAGUAAGUUACGGUAUUAAGACUGAACAGGACACGCUCUUAGGCCUACAGCUGUGUGGUUAUACAAGGAUACUAUACAAAGACCACUAAUGACAUGACUUAUUAUCAUAAUAACAAUAAGGAGAUCAAGAAAAAGGAGGGUAUAGUUGUGAGAGCUGUGUGUAUAUUAUGUGUGACAAACAGGUGCUGUUAGAUUACAGUAUCAUUGUUCUGCCUGUUUGGAACAGUGUAAAUAACACUAAAUACAUUGUAAGUAAUACUGUUCUAACAAAAAUAAUUGUAAAGCCUUGAUUACAGCAGAGCAAAGAUUAAAACGGCCAAAUCUGGGAAAUUGCUUUAUGCAACACUUUGCUGCUGCAUGAGGCUCACAGAAUCAGUAAGUUAUUAAACACACAGUCAAACAGGAAACAGAAGCAGGAUCUGUCUUAUUUCUGGAGAUGUCUGUAUGUAUAUGGAGGAUUUAUGAAGCCAGGCACAUUUAACAGUUGAUUAUAGACUUCAUUAAAUUGGGGUUUCCUCUCUCC
Molecule: long non-coding RNA, 1112 nt
Organism: Oncorhynchus tshawytscha (Chinook salmon)
Lineage: Eukaryota; Metazoa; Chordata; Actinopteri; Salmoniformes; Salmonidae
Source: Ensembl